RNAcentral lists this ribosomal RNA (474 nucleotides) under uncultured bacterium. Its description in RNAcentral is "bacterial SSU rRNA". It matches the Rfam family "Bacterial small subunit ribosomal RNA", at positions 8 to 478 of the family's 1533-position model. The record is from RNAcentral.
AGAGUUUGAUCCUGGCUCAGAUUGAACGCUGGCGGUAUGCUUAACACAUGCAAGUCGGACGAUGAGAAGGUGCUUGCACCUUUGAUUAGUGGCGGACGGGUGAGUAACGCGUAGGAAUCUGCCUGUCAGUGGGGGACAACUUGGGGAAACCCAAGCUAAUACCGCAUACGAUCCACGGAUGAAAGGAGGGGACCUUCGGGCCUUCCGCUGACAGAUGAGCCUGCGUAGGAUUAGCUAGUUGGUAGGGUAAAGGCCUACCAAGGCGACGAUCCUUAGCUGGUCUGAGAGGACGAUCAGCCACACUGGGACUGAGACACGGCCCAGACUCCUACGGGAGGCAGCAGUGGGGAAUAUUGGACAAUGGGCGCAAGCCUGAUCCAGCAAUACCGCGUGUGUGAAGAAGGCCCUAGGGUUGUAAAGCACUUUUAACCGGGAGGAACACCCGGCGGCCAAUACCCGCCGGACUGACAUUAC